Molecule: long non-coding RNA, 1554 nt
Organism: Myripristis murdjan (pinecone soldierfish)
Lineage: Eukaryota; Metazoa; Chordata; Actinopteri; Holocentriformes; Holocentridae
Exons: 7
Source: RefSeq, a predicted model, not a curated record
AUUGAUAAAAUUGGAGAUGGAGUUUUAAGUCUCCGUGCACAUUCACAAGGAAACCGUGCUCUGGAAAUGGGAAUUUUCUAUCCUGCCAAAGUGCCUUCGCCAGCGGCUCACCACGCUCCACCAAAAUGUUAUUUAGAUAAACGUUGUGAAAGUUUUUUUUUCUACAGUCUAUCAGCAGACAUUUUUUUAUGCACAGGAGAUCUGUCUUCAGCCUGGGAGUUCAAGAGGGUUGCAUCAUCAAAAAGGCAGUGAAUAGACCCCAGAGAAAGGCCUGUCCCAAACCUGACCCCAGUGUUGCACAAAAAAAGAUUGGAAAUACUCUUAGAUAGGAGAUUCAUGGUUCCUUGCAGCCUGUCAUUCCUUCAUGUCUUCGACGCUGGAAGUGUGUUCGCCCAUGACUGUACUGGUGAGCCAUACUAAUGGGAUGAUGACAUCAGUGACUUGCUUAUGGGGUGGACUUUCCAGACAAACCAUCUCAUCUUCUGUUCAACAGGAUUGCUGAGUGGAGAGGGGCUUGUGGUUGACUAGGAGGAAGAUGUCAUGCUGACGAUGGGUUUGGGCGAUGAUGUUGCUGGUGUUGAUGCGGCAUCGAGCUCUCACUUUGUGCCUCUGUCAGCCAUGAUGCAUAACCAUAGAGUGAGUGACAGGCCAGUCCCCAGAGGGAACAGGGGGCCUGAGAAGCACAGGCUCUUUUCAGAGGCGGUGAGGAAGACUGACCGUCUUGAAGACAGUGCUUGAAGACAGCCCUAUCUGCUCUAAUGCUAGUCACCGGCCGUUAGACAUGGCGUUCAAAGACUAGCGGUGCAAGUAUGGAAAUGCAGAUAAGGCAUUGUUGAAGAAACAUGCCUGGGAAUUGUUCAAGGCUUUCCCUCGUAUAAUGUUCUGAUACUUUUGCAAAUGUUUUAAUCUCAAAACCCAUGAAUCUGAUCCUCGGGACUUUGCAUGGAAAGGAUUGUCAUGUUAUGCAAAUGACUGAUGUUUGUGAUUAUUUUUGUGAUUGUUUUGACAGCUACCAGCAAAGAAAUGAACUAACUCACAAUACUAGUAAUAUUUUUCUCCUUUCUAGAUAAUAAUACAGAGUGAUGUUUUAAGAUAGAAAUGCCUAGUCAUGUUCAUCUUUUCUAGAUAAUGAAGCAUUGAAAUGCAUUUCUCCUUUCUAGAUUAUUAUGCAAGUUAAUGUAUUUCUCCUUUUUAAAUAAUGCAUAGCAAUGUAUUUCUGCUUUUUACAUUAUUAAGUCUGAGGUUUCAUGUUUUUUAGGAGCUCAACACCCACUUGAUACUGUAGGGUCACAUUUUCUGUUGAGCUCUAGCCAGGCCUCAUUUUUAUUUAUUUAUUUAUUUAUUUAUUUAUUUAUUAUUUAUUUCUCUGCUGAUAUGGCGCCAUGAAUUCAAGACUUUGCUUCACAGAAAGAUAGAAAGAUGUCAGAAACUUGUGUGUAUAAUCUUCAAGGUUUAUUUACUUUUCUUUUGCAGUUUUCAGGAGGCAGUUAAUUACACAAUUAAUACAUGAUACAAAUUAUGUACAUUUAUACCAAAGAAUACUUCCAACAUAAA